Non-coding RNA from Phrynosoma platyrhinos (Desert horned lizard), 72 nucleotides. The record is from the annotation of a GenBank genome assembly. NCBI's taxonomy places the organism in Eukaryota, Metazoa, Chordata, Lepidosauria, Squamata, Phrynosomatidae.
GGGUAGUAGCAUAGUGGUUUGAGUGUUGGACUAUGACUCUGGAGAUUCUGGGUUAGAUUCCCAACUCAUCCA